ACCAUGGACAGCAACACAGACUGACUGAAGGGGCGUUGGGAGGAAGAAGAGGCACGACCAGAUUUCAGCACACGGGUGGCAAAACAUGAACAUGUCUCAGCCUCAUUGAAUAUGGAAGAAAACACAUCUGUGGCGAGAGGAAAUAAAAACAAAGCAGAGAUGAUGGAGACUUGCUUUUGGUCUACAGCAGCAUCAGACCGGAAUAUUUUGCCGCUCCGAUAAACCUCACAGUGCUGAACAAGAGGGCCAUCUCACGCAUCGCAACCACAACAGAGCUGGA
Long non-coding RNA from Eleginops maclovinus (Patagonian blennie), 280 nucleotides. RefSeq lists it as uncharacterized. The record is from RefSeq and is a predicted model, not a curated record. NCBI's taxonomy places the organism in Eukaryota, Metazoa, Chordata, Actinopteri, Perciformes, Eleginopidae. The transcript has 3 exons.